RNAcentral lists this ribosomal RNA (512 nucleotides) under uncultured bacterium. Its description in RNAcentral is "partial 16S ribosomal RNA". It matches the Rfam family "Bacterial small subunit ribosomal RNA", at positions 28 to 523 of the family's 1533-position model. The record is from RNAcentral.
GACGAACGCUGGCGGCGUGCCUAAUACAUGCAAGUCGAGCGAAUCAAUAGGAGCUUGCUCCUGUUGAUUAGCGGCGGACGGGUGAGUAACACGUGGGCAACCUGCCUGUAAGACUGGGAUAACUUCGGGAAACCGGAGCUAAUACCGGAUAAUUCUUUUCCUCUCAUGAGGAAAAGCUGAAAGUCGGUUUCGGCUGACACUUACAGAUGGGCCCGCGUCGCAUUAGCUAGUUGGUGAGGUAACGGCUCACCAAGGCGACGAUGCGUAGCCGACCUGAGAGGGUGAUCGGCCACACUGGGACUGAGACACGGCCCAGACUCCUACGGGAGGCAGCAGUAGGGAAUCUUCCGCAAUGGACGAAAGUCUGACGGAGCAACGCCGCGUGGGCGAUGAAGGCCUUCGGGUCGUAAAGCUCUGUUGUUAGGGAAGAUCAAGUAUCGGAGUAACUGCCGGUACCUUGACGGUACCUAACCAGAAAGCCACGGCUAACUACGUGCCAGACGCCGCGGUAA